Molecule: long non-coding RNA, 1628 nt
Organism: Gallus gallus (chicken)
Lineage: Eukaryota; Metazoa; Chordata; Aves; Galliformes; Phasianidae
Source: Ensembl
GUCCUUCUCUGCAGGGCUGCUCUCAGUGGAUUAUCCCAGUUUGUAGGUGUACCUGACAUUGCCCCAUCCAUGUGCAACACAGUUCUUUUGGCUUUGUUAAAUCUCAUGAGAUUCUUAUAGGCCCAGUUCUUGAGCUUGUCCCGGUCCCUCUGGAUGGCAUCCUUUCCUUCCAUUAUACCAGCUGCACCACUCAGCUUGGUGUUGUCUGCAAACUUGCUGAAGCUACACUCAAUCCCACUGUCAAUGUCAUUGAUAAAGAUGCUGAAGACCACCGGUCCCAAGAUGGAACCACUGGGGGACACCACUUGUCAUGGCCUCCACCUAGAUGUAGCACCACUGACCACAAACCUCCUGCCUUACCACCCAACCAUUUUUUCAUCCAUUAAAUGGUCCACCCUUCAAAUUCAUAUCUCUCCAAUUUAGAGAGAUGUUUUAAAAGGGCAACUUUGUGUUUGGCUCCAUUGUGUUCUCACCUGAGAUGCUGGUGCCUAGAGGUAUAGUUCUAGCUUCUGGCAGUGUGAUAUAUAUGGUAGGAGCUACAGGUGAACUUAAAAUGACCAUUUCUAAUAUGCAUUGGUAUGUUAAGUCUUCUGUCCUUCUGUGUAGCAGCUUUUCAGUUUUGUCACAGCUGUGUUUAAGGUGAUAGACUGCCAUUACAUUGUACCUUAGUUUUUCAUUAGAUUGCCGAAGAAUUUAUGAUGCCACCUGGGAAAUUUAUAACUGGAAUAACUCAGAUUAGAAGGGACCUUUACGGGUCAUCUUCUCUAGCCUCCUGCUGUCUUUUGGGAUGCCUAUUUUGCUGGAGUAGUCCCCAAUCCAUUCUUUUUUGGCUCUGGGUCAUGCAUUGUUUACAAACUCAAUAUUCAACAAAAUCUGAGAGCAGACCUUCCCAGCAAGGUGAAUAUCUUAUGCUUUUGGCCUUUUUUUGUGUGUGUGUAUGUGCUCUUUAUGAUUGCACCAACAUUUUCCUUGCUGCUGAGAUGUCUUUUAAUGCCUUCUGCACCCUGUCUGUGUUUUGACUCCAAUGAAACUGUCAAUUUCCUGUCCCCUAUGUGCUCAGACACUAUGGAGACAUUUCUCAUCUAUUUCUUUCAUAUUAUAUGCAGCUUUUAUGGUAUGGAGUGGCUUUGUGCAUCUUUAGAUUUAUGCUGGUCUACCUCUUAUGGCUUUGUCACUCUUCAAAACAGUUUGCAAAUGCACUGUAUCUCAGAUGGAAAGCACAUUCUUUCACCUACUUAAUAUUCUUGCAUAAAUAUACGCGUGUGUUCUGUUUCUGUAAUAACUCCUAUUCAGACUUCUGGCAGAUUUUGCUUAUCUUCAGUGCUUUUCUGUGUGAUGGAUUGUCUGUCUGUCAUGUAGUGGACUUGAGCAUUAAUCCCCAGUGAGGAAGAGCUAAAGAAAUUUUUCUUCCUCUCUCCAUUUUAAAGGAGCAGAAUCAGAUAGCGUCUGACCUGUCACUUCCUCCUCCUCUUCUCAGAAGCUGGAAGACUGCAGUUCCUGGCUCCCACAUCCUCAUCUCUACUCAGAUAUGUGCAUCAACUAUUGAUAAUUAUAAGAAGUCCAGGGUUCUUCAGUGUUUGAUUCUGCUCUAGCUCUUAGUAGAGCAAUCAUAAUUGGAAGUUUGUGUG